CGUGUAGGCGGCCGUCUAAGUCGGGUGUGAAAUCCCUCGGCUCAACCGAGGAAUUGCAUUCGAUACUGGACAGCUAGAGUGCGGUAGGGGCAAGUGGAACUCCAGGUGUAGCGGUGAAAUGCGUAGAUAUCUGGAGGAACGCCGGUGGCGAAAGCGACUUGCUGGCCCGCAACUGACGCUGAGGCGCGAAAGCUAGGGGAGCGAACG
This 207-nucleotide ribosomal RNA is filed under the name uncultured bacterium. RNAcentral describes it as "partial 16S ribosomal RNA". It matches the Rfam family "Bacterial small subunit ribosomal RNA", at positions 568 to 774 of the family's 1533-position model. The record is from RNAcentral.